RNAcentral lists this ribosomal RNA (1135 nucleotides) under uncultured Caldococcus sp. RNAcentral describes it as "partial 16S ribosomal RNA". It matches the Rfam family "Archaeal small subunit ribosomal RNA", at positions 103 to 1222 of the family's 1478-position model. The record is from RNAcentral. Lineage: Archaea; Thermoproteati; Thermoproteota; Thermoprotei; Desulfurococcales.
GCUAACCUGCCCUCGGGACGGGGAUAACCCCGGGAAACUGGGGCUAAUCCCCGAUAGGCGAGGGGGCCUGGAACGGUCCCUCGCCGAAAGGGACCUCAGGGGGUUAUCGCCUGGGGUCCGCCUGAGGAUGGGGCCACGGCUCAUCAUGGUAGUUGGCGGGGUAAUGGCCCGCCAAGCCGACGACGGGUAGGGGCCGUGGGAGCGGGAGCCCCCAGAUGGGCCCUGAGACAAGGGCCCAGGCCCUACGGGGCGCACCAGGCGCGAAACCUCCGCAAUGCGGGAAACCGUGACGGGGUCACCCCGAGUGCCCCCGUAAGGGGGCUUUUCCCCGCUGUAAGGAGGCGGGGGAAUAAGCGGGGGGCAAGUCUGGUGUCAGCCGCCGCGGUAAUACCAGCCCCGCGAGUGGUCGGGACUCUUGCUGGGCCUAAAGCGCCCGUAGCCGGCCCGGUAAGUCCCUCCUUAAAGCCCCGGGCUCAACCCGGGGAGCGGGGGGAUACUGCCGGGCUAGGGGGCGGGAGAGGCCGGGGGUACCCCAGGGGUAGGGGCGAAAUCCGAUAAUCCCUGGGGGACCACCAGUGGCGAAGGCGCCCGGCUGGAACGCGCCCGACGGUGAGGGGCGAAAGCCGGGGGAGCGAACCGGAUUAGAUACCCGGGUAGUCCCGGCUGUAAACGAUGCGGGCCAGGUGUCGGGCGGGCGUUAGAGCCCGCCCGGUGCCGCAGGGAAGCCGUUAAGCCCGCCGCCUGGGGAGUACGGCCGCAAGGCUGAAACUUAAAGGAAUUGGCGGGGGGGCACACAAGGGGUGGAGCCUGCGGCUCAAUUGGAGUCAACGCCGGGAACCUCUACCGGGGGCGACAGCAGGAUGACGGCCAGGCUAACGACCUUGCCCGACGCGCUGAGGGGAGGUGCAUGGCCGUCGCCAGCUCGUGCUGUGAAGUGUCCUGUUAAGUCAGGCAACGAGCGAGACCCCCGCCCCUAGUUGCGACCCUGCGGGCGACCGCGGGGGCACACUAGGGGGACUGCCGCCGCUAAGGCGGAGGAAGGAGGGGGCCACGGCAGGUCAGCAUGCCCCUAAACCCCCGGGCUGCACGCGGGCUACAAUGGCGGGGACAGCGGGAUCCGACCCCGAAAGGGGGA